GACGAACGCUGGCGGCGUGGAUUAGGCAUGCAAGUCGAACGGUAUCAUCCUUUCGGGGGUGAGAGAGUGGCGAACUGGUGAGUAACACGUAGGUUAUCUACCCUCAAGACGGGGACAACCCAGGGAAACUUGGGCUAAUACCGGAUGUGAGCAACUUUUAGUUGUUUGAAAGGUGGCGUAAGCUGUCGCUUGGGGAUGAGCCUGCGUCCUAUUAGUUAGUUGGUGAGGUAACGGCUCACCUAGGCAAUGAUAGGUAGGCGGCCUUAACGGGUGGUCGCCCACACUGGGAUUGAGAUACGGCCCAGACUCCUACGGGAGGCAGCAGUCGAGAAUAGUCUACAAUGGUCGGAAGACUGAUAGUGCGACGCCGCGUGAACGAUGAAUCCCUUCGGGGUGUAAAGUUCUUUUAUAUGUGAGCAGUGCUUCUUAUAUUAACAGUAUGGGGAGAGAGAUAUUAGCAUAUGAAUAAGCAACGGUAACUCCGUAGCCAGCAGCCGCGGUAAACUCG
RNAcentral lists this ribosomal RNA (508 nucleotides) under uncultured bacterium. RNAcentral describes it as "bacterial SSU rRNA". It matches the Rfam family "Bacterial small subunit ribosomal RNA", at positions 28 to 528 of the family's 1533-position model. The record is from RNAcentral.